RNAcentral lists this ribosomal RNA (490 nucleotides) under uncultured bacterium. RNAcentral describes it as "partial 16S ribosomal RNA". It matches the Rfam family "Bacterial small subunit ribosomal RNA", at positions 30 to 507 of the family's 1533-position model. The record is from RNAcentral.
AUUGAACGCUGGCGGCAGGCCUAACACAUGCAAGUCGAACGGUAACAGGAAACAGCUUGCUGUUUCGCUGACGAGUGGCGGACGGGUGAGUAAUGUCUGGGAAACUGCCUGAUGGAGGGGGAUAACUACUGGAAACGGUAGCUAAUACCGCAUAACGUCGCAAGACCAAAGAGGGGGACCUUCGGGCCUCUUGCCAUCGGAUGUGCCCAGAUGGGAUUAGCUAGUAGGUGGGGUAACGGCUCACCUAGGCGACGAUCCCUAGCUGGUCUGAGAGGAUGACCAACCACACUGGAACUGAGACACGGUCCAGACUCCUACGGGAGGCAGCAGUGGGGAAUAUUGCACAAUGGGCGCAAGCCUGAUGCAGCCAUGCCGCGUGUAUGAAGAAGGCCUUCGGGUUGUAAAGUACUUUCGGCGGGGAGGAAGGGAGUAAAGUUAAUACCUUUACUCAUUGACGUUACCCGCAGAAGAAGCACCGGCUAACUCCGUG